This is a small nucleolar RNA of Ailuropoda melanoleuca (giant panda), 82 nucleotides long. Ensembl annotates it as small nucleolar RNA, C/D box 19B. The record is from Ensembl. Lineage: Eukaryota; Metazoa; Chordata; Mammalia; Carnivora; Ursidae.
GGAUGGCUGAAAUAUGAUGAGUAUACAAAAUCUUGAUUAAAAAAUGAGAACUCAUAAGAUCCAACUCUGAUUUCAUCCAGAG